GGUCCGAUGGCUCAGGGGUUAGAGCGUUUUCCUCGGAUAAGUGAGGUCAUGGGUUCGAUCCCCGGCUACUCAUACCA
Molecule: non-coding RNA, 77 nt
Organism: Potamilus streckersoni
Lineage: Eukaryota; Metazoa; Mollusca; Bivalvia; Unionida; Unionidae
Source: the annotation of a GenBank genome assembly